This 2939-nucleotide ribosomal RNA is filed under the name Priestia megaterium. Its description in RNAcentral is "bacterial LSU rRNA". It matches the Rfam family "Bacterial large subunit ribosomal RNA". Lineage: Bacteria; Bacillati; Bacillota; Bacilli; Caryophanales; Bacillaceae. The record is from RNAcentral.
AUGGUUAAGUUAGAAAGGGCGCACGGUGAAUGCCUUGGCGCUAGGAGCCGAUGAAGGACGGGACUAACACCGAUAUGCUUCGGGGAGCUGUAAGUGAGCUUUGAUCCGGAGAUUUCCGAAUGGGGAAACCCACUGUUCGUAAUGGAACAGUAUCUUUAUCUGAAUACAUAGGAUAUUGAAGGCAGACCCGGGGAACUGAAACAUCUAAGUACCCGGAGGAAGAGAAAGCAAAUGCGAUUUCCUGAGUAGCGGCGAGCGAAACGGAAUUAGCCCAAACCAAGAGGCUUGCCUCUUGGGGUUGUAGGACACUCUAUACGGAGUUACAAAGGAACGAAGUAAAUGAAGCGACCUGGAAAGGUCCGUCGAAGAAGGUAACAACCCUGUAGUUGAAACUUCGUUCCUCUUGAGUGGAUCCUGAGUACGGCGGAACACGUGAAAUUCCGUCGGAAGCUGGGAGGACCAUCUCCCAAGGCUAAAUACUACCUAGUGACCGAUAGUGAACCAGUACCGUGAGGGAAAGGUGAAAAGCACCCCGGAAGGGGAGUGAAAGAGAUCCUGAAACCGUGUGCCUACAAGUAGUCAGAGCCCGUUAACGGGUGAUGGCGUGCCUUUUGUAGAAUGAACCGGCGAGUUACGAUCCCAUGCAAGGUUAAGCUGAUAAGGCGGAGCCGUAGCGAAAGCGAGUCUGAAUAGGGCGUUUAGUAUGUGGUUGUAGACCCGAAACCAGGUGAUCUACCCAUGUCCAGGGUGAAGUUCAGGUAACACUGAAUGGAGGCCCGAACCCACGCACGUUGAAAAGUGCGGGGAUGAGGUGUGGGUAGCGGAGAAAUUCCAAUCGAACCUGGAGAUAGCUGGUUCUCUCCGAAAUAGCUUUAGGGCUAGCCUCAUGUUGUGAGAGUCUUGGAGGUAGAGCACUGAUUGGACUAGGGGCCCCCAACGGGUUACCGAAUUCAGUCAAACUCCGAAUGCCAAAGACUUAUCCAUGGGAGUCAGACUGCGAGUGAUAAGAUCCGUAGUCAAAAGGGAAACAGCCCAGACCACCAGCUAAGGUCCCCAAGUAUACGUUAAGUGGAAAAGGAUGUGGAGUUGCUUAGACAACCAGGAUGUUGGCUUAGAAGCAGCCACCAUUUAAAGAGUGCGUAAUAGCUCACUGGUCGAGUGACUCUGCGCCGAAAAUGUACCGGGGCUAAACGUAUCACCGAAGCUGUGGAUUGACAUCUUAGAUGUCAGUGGUAGGAGAGCGUUCUAAGUGCUGUGAAGUCAGACCGUAAGGACUGGUGGAGCGCUUAGAAGUGAGAAUGCCGGUAUGAGUAGCGAAAGACAAGUGAGAAUCUUGUCCACCGAAUGCCUAAGGUUUCCUGAGGAAGGCUCGUCCGCUCAGGGUUAGUCGGGACCUAAGCCGAGGCUGAAAAGCGUAGGCGAUGGCCAACAGGUUGAUAUUCCUGUACCACCUCCCCGCCGUUUGAGUAAUGGGGGGACGCAGUAGGAUAGGGUAAGCGCGCUGCUGGAUAUGCGCGUUCAAGCAGUUAGGCUGAUGAGUAGGCAAAUCCGCUCAUCAUAAAGGCUGAGCUGUGAUGACGAGGGAAUUAUAGUACCGAAGUUCCUGAUUCCACACUGCCAAGAAAAGCCUCUAGCGAGGCGGGAGGUGCCCGUACCGCAAACCGACACAGGUAGGCGAGGAGAGAAUCCUAAGGUGAUCGAGAGAACUCUCGUUAAGGAACUCGGCAAAAUGACCCCGUAACUUCGGGAGAAGGGGUGCUCUGGUAGGGUGUAUAGCCCGAGAGAGCCGCAGUGAAUAGGCCCAGGCGACUGUUUAGCAAAAACACAGGUCUCUGCGAAGCCGCAAGGCGAAGUAUAGGGGCUGACGCCUGCCCGGUGCUGGAAGGUUAAGAGGAGGGGUUAUCCUUUGGGAGAAGCUCUGAAUCGAAGCCCCAGUAAACGGCGGCCGUAACUAUAACGGUCCUAAGGUAGCGAAAUUCCUUGUCGGGUAAGUUCCGACCCGCACGAAAGGCGUAACGAUCUGGGCACUGUCUCAACGAGAGACUCGGUGAAAUUAUAGUACCUGUGAAGAUGCAGGUUACCCGCGACAGGACGGAAAGACCCCGUGGAGCUUUACUGUAGCCUGAUAUUGAAUUUUGGUACAGCUUGUACAGGAUAGGUAGGAGCCUGAGAAACCGGAGCGCUAGCUUCGGUGGAGGCGUCGGUGGGAUACUACCCUGGCUGUAUUGAAAUUCUAACCCGCGGCCCUUAUCGGGCCGGGAGACAGUGUCAGGUGGGCAGUUUGACUGGGGCGGUCGCCUCCUAAAAUGUAACGGAGGCGCCCAAAGGUUCCCUCAGAAUGGUUGGAAAUCAUUCGUAGAGUGUAAAGGCACAAGGGAGCUUGACUGCGAGACCUACAAGUCGAGCAGGGACGAAAGUCGGGCUUAGUGAUCCGGUGGUUCCGCAUGGAAGGGCCAUCGCUCAACGGAUAAAAGCUACCCCGGGGAUAACAGGCUUAUCUCCCCCAAGAGUCCACAUCGACGGGGAGGUUUGGCACCUCGAUGUCGGCUCAUCGCAUCCUGGGGCUGUAGUCGGUCCCAAGGGUUGGGCUGUUCGCCCAUUAAAGCGGUACGCGAGCUGGGUUCAGAACGUCGUGAGACAGUUCGGUCCCUAUCCGUCGUGGGCGUAGGAAAUUUGAGAGGAGCUGUCCUUAGUACGAGAGGACCGGGAUGGACACACCGCUGGUGUACCAGUUGUCUUGCCAAAGGCAUCGCUGGGUAGCUAUGUGUGGACGGGAUAAGUGCUGAAAGCAUCUAAGCAUGAAGCCCCCCUCAAGAUGAGAUUUCCCAUAGCGCAAGCUAGUAAGAUCCCUGAAAGAUGAUCAGGUUGAUAGGUCAGAGGUGGAAGCGUGGCGACAUGUGUAGCUGACUGAUACUAAUCGAUCGAGGACUUAACCAAAA